AUGGUGCUGUUUCCUUUCCUUGGUGCAUUCGUCUUGGCAGCCACAGCAGUUCAUGUCGCCGGUCAGCAAGAAGGUUUUCUGAGCAUCGACUGCGGCCUGGAUGCCAGAUUCAGCAGGCGCAAGGACACCUACACAAACAUCGCCUACAUCUCUGACAGUCCGUACGUGGACGGCGGGGAGAACCACAGGGUGGCCGCCGACCAGGAGAGCUCUACUAACGACGUCUCCCUGCUAACGCUGAGGAGCUUCCCGUCCGGCCUACGGAAUUGCUACACGCUCCCCACGGAGAGCGGUGCCAAAUAUCUGGUCCGGAUGGAGUUCUUCCACGGCAGAUACGACGGCAAGAGCAGCCCCUUGUCGCUGCAGUUCGACCUGCACCUGGGCACCAACUACUGGGACACGGUCACGCUCCAAGACACGACCGACGACUGGUGGUCCGAGGCAAUAUUCGUCGCGUGGUCCAGCUGGGUGCCGGUGUGCCUGCUGAAUACCGGCACCGGCACGCCGUUCGUCAACACGGUGGAGUUGAGGCCGCUCGGGGCCUCGCUUUACCCGGACGUCACCAUCGACGAGUCCAUAUCCAUGUAUCGAAGGGCGAAUAUGGGGGGAAAUUUUACCCUGUUUCCCGACGAUCCAUAUGACCGCUACUGGGGUUCGGAAACCAGCUCAUCAUGGGCAAACCUUUCCACCAAAAAGCACAUCCAGCAGGACGACAACAGCGUCGCGGUACCCGUCCUUGUUCUUCAGGCAGCCGUCAGUACUAUAAACAAUGUCAUCGUACUAAACGUUGGUACAUGGAGAGUGUACAAAAGGUCGUUCGAGUUUAAGUUCUUCCUACACUUUACCGAUAUCCAAAACACCCAGCUCCGGCGGUUCGAUCUCUAUGUGAACGACGAACAGUGGUUGCAGACAUACAGCCCCCCGUACCUGGACAUUUCUUAUAUCUAUUCUUCUGCCUGGAAUAAGACUACAGACGGCAAGUACAAUAUCACUCUUGCAGCCAGCCCUACAUCCGUGCUGCUUCCGAUGAUCAAUGCAUACGAGGUUUACAACAACAUCCCCCACGAUACUCCGAGGACGUCCACCAAAGACUUUGACACAAUGAUGGCUAUCAAACUCGAGUACGGAGUGAAAAAGAACUGGAUGGGUGAUCCAUGUUUUCCGGCCAAAUAUCGAUGGAAUGGUGUCAAUUGUAGCGACUUAACUAAUAACAUUACGAGGAUAAUAUCUCUGGAUCUAUCCAAUAGUAACUUGACUGGAUUGGUAUCUGAUAACUUCACGUUGCUCACAGAACUCCAACUUUUGGAUUUGUCCCGCAACAAUCUGAAUGGUCCAAUUCCGUAUUCCCUCUGUAAAAGGAACGCAAGAUCACUCGUUGUCAGGUAUGAAUCUGAAGAAGAUAUGUGCAAAAAACAAUAA
This 1419-nucleotide ribosomal RNA is filed under the name Triticum aestivum (bread wheat). Its description in RNAcentral is "partial small subunit ribosomal RNA". Lineage: Eukaryota; Viridiplantae; Streptophyta; Magnoliopsida; Poales; Poaceae. The record is from RNAcentral.